UUGAGAGGGAAAUUCAGCUCGGAUCUAAUGCAUGUACAUGAAUUCAUGAUCAUCUAGCCCUAUAAAUCACUUGGAUAGGAACUACAUUAACACGUACUCAAGCAUGGAAGGCUAACGGGUCAAGAUGAGGCAAGGAAGCGGCUACGAACACGGAUGCACAAGGUUACACGGUCUAUCGUCGGUUUAAAGCAUUGGAGGAUUGAAGAUCGAGUCAAGGGCAAAAAUUGUACGGGAAGAGUAGUCACGUAGCUCAAACGCGUAUAUGUAAUUGAUGUGAAAAUUCAGAACGAACGAUGUAAACCCUUUAAUUAACUUUAAAAAUUUCUAGUAACGAACCCCAAGUAUGA
Long non-coding RNA from Helianthus annuus (common sunflower), 347 nucleotides. RefSeq lists it as uncharacterized. The transcript has 2 exons. The record is from RefSeq and is a predicted model, not a curated record. NCBI's taxonomy places the organism in Eukaryota, Viridiplantae, Streptophyta, Magnoliopsida, Asterales, Asteraceae.